This 497-nucleotide ribosomal RNA is filed under the name uncultured bacterium. Its description in RNAcentral is "partial 16S ribosomal RNA". It matches the Rfam family "Bacterial small subunit ribosomal RNA", at positions 28 to 507 of the family's 1533-position model. The record is from RNAcentral.
GAUGAACGCUGGCGGCGUGCCUAAUACAUGCAAGUCGAGCGAACAGACGAGGAGCUUGCUCCUUUGACGUUAGCGGCGGACGGGUGAGUAACACGUAGGUAACCUACCUAUAAGACUGGGAUAACUUCGGGAAACCGGAGCUAAUACCGGAUAAUAUUUCGAACCGCAUGGUUCGAUAGUGAAAGAUGGCUUUGCUAUCACUUAUAGAUGGACCUGCGCCGUAUUAGCUAGUUGGUAAGGUAACGGCCUACCAAGGCAACGAUACGUAGCCGACCUGAGAGGGUGAUCGGCCACACUGGAACUGAGACACGGUCCAGACUCCUACGGGAGGCAGCAGUAGGGAAUCUUCCGCAAUGGGCGAAAGCCUGACGGAGCAACGCCGCGUGAGUGAUGAAGGUCUUCGGAUCGUAAAACUCUGUUAUUAGGGAAGAACAAACGUGUAAGUAACUGUGCACGUCUUGACGGUACCUAAUCAGAAAGCCACGGCUAACUACGUG